RNAcentral lists this long non-coding RNA (1504 nucleotides) under Arabidopsis thaliana (thale cress). Its description in RNAcentral is "potential natural antisense gene, locus overlaps with AT1G60530 (AT1G60525)". The record is from RNAcentral. Lineage: Eukaryota; Viridiplantae; Streptophyta; Magnoliopsida; Brassicales; Brassicaceae.
CAAAACACACAAAAGCCCAAAUCUUAAAAGGCCCAAAUCUAAAACACGACCCGACCCGACUUAUGUGAAGCAAUAGAUCAACGAUCUCCAUAUCAAGAGCUCUGAUCAACAAUGGCCGCCACAACAUCCUUGGACUCCUUCAGAAGCUUGAUACUGUUCUUAAGCUUCUCCCUCUUGCUCGCCACCGACGGAUACUCCUCCAGCAUCUUCUCAACUACUCCUCCACUACUUGAAUUCACCAAUUCCGCCACGAUCUCCUCAUGUAAUUGAAUGUUCACAAGAUGCCGACAAUGUCACCAUCAAUCAAACUUAGCAGUGGAUGAGUCCUGAAGAGAGACCUUCAGGAGCCAUGUCAGCCUUUGUCACAACAGCCAGAGUCCGUUCACCAGUUUUGUCAACUUGUCUUGACAUGCGAAUGGAUUCGCAUGUGGUGAAGUCGACCGUAGCUGACAGAACAUUGAGGAUUAUUGAUUCUUGAGGCUCGAUGUACUUCAUGAUCAUCCUAGAAAUCUGUUCGUAAAUAUUCUCCGGUUGUCCAUUCACUGGAACUCGAGUUAUACCGGGAAGAUCGACCAUCGUAAGAUCUGGGACAUUGUUCUUCUUAACACUGAGGGUCAGGGGAGUGUCUGAAACUCCUUCACCAGUUCCUGCAGCACAGGUAGACAAAACUGCAAAACACACUUAACACUACACUGAGAAGGAGAGAGAGAAAACUUACCAGCAAUCACAUCUGUUGCAGCACAAAUAGCUUCAGCGACGUGUUCUUCAUCUGUGGGAACAACUUUGUCACUGUAUUCCAGCCAAAUCUCUGGUUCAGGGCUGGAGCUUCGCUGAAGCCUCAUGACUAGAGGAACCCUAGUGCAGAUUCCUUGUCCACGAGGCAAAUUGAUUCCUGCCAACGACUCAAGAACACUCGACUUCCCUGAAGACUGGUCUCCAACCACCACAAUGGUGGGAAGCUGGAUCCCUUCUCUCAUCACAUUCAGGUUUCUCAAUCUGUCGACAGUGUCAAGCAAUGGCCGGAUCCGGUCAUUGUAAGAUGAUACAAUUGGUGCUUCAAUGGGUGUGUUGACUAUAGAAAGAGAAGACAUCCCAGCUUCGACAUCAAUUUCAUAGUCAUUGGACAUCUUACUGCCUCCCAUUUUUGCACGAGUAUAAACAAAAGAGAGUGAGAGAGGAAAUAAAGGAUUAGAUGCAGAGAAGAAAAGUUUUUAGUGAGUGAAGAGACUCAUGUUGGUGGUGACAUUUAUAGAUUGGCUUGUGGUGACCUUUGGUGUUUUAACUUUUACAAAGAAGAAGUUUGAAAGUUUUUUUUUUGGUUAAAUGUAGAAGUUUGAAAGUUCUUCAUUGUUUUAAGAACAAGAGAUAGAUGUAAAUGUUGACAUCUGAGGUUUGUAACUUUUACGGAGUACAAGAGAUAAAUUUAACUGUUAAAUUACUAUUUUCUAUCUUUGAUUUUUUAGCCGUCAAGGACUUUGUAGUUUGAACCACGAUAGAUUGCAAG